AGAGUUUGAUCAUGGCUCAGAUUGAACGCUGGCGGCAGGCUUAACACAUGCAAGUCGAGCGGGGGAAGGUAGCUUGCUACUGGACCUAGCGGCGGACGGGUGAGUAAUGCUUAGGAAUCUGCCUAUUAGUGGGGGACAACAUCUCGAAAGGGAUGCUAAUACCGCAUACGUCCUACGGGAGAAAGCAGGGGAUCUUCGGACCUUGCGCUAAUAGAUGAGCCUAAGUCGGAUUAGCUAGUUGGUGGGGUAAAGGCCUACCAAGGCGACGAUCUGUAGCGGGUCUGAGAGGAUGAUCCGCCACACUGGGACUGAGACACGGCCCAGACUCCUACGGGAGGCAGCAGUGGGGAAUAUUGGACAAUGGGGGGAACCCUGAUCCAGCCAUGCCGCGUGUGUGAAGAAGGCCUUAUGGUUGUAAAGCACUUUAAGCGAGGAGGAGGCUACUUUAGUUAAUACCUAGAGAUAGUGGACGUUACUCGCAGAAUAAGCACCGGCUAACUCUGUGCCAGCAGCCGCGGUAAUACAGAGGGUGCGAGCGUUAAUCGGAUUUACUGGGCGUAAAGCGUGCGUAGGCGGCUUAUUAAGUCGGAUGUGAAAUCCCCGAGCUUAACUUGGGAAUUGCAUUCGAUACUGGUGAGCUAGAGUAUGGGAGAGGAUGGUAGAAUUCCAGGUGUAGCGGUGAAAUGCGUAGAGAUCUGGAGGAAUACCGAUGGCGAAGGCAGCCAUCUGGCCUAAUACUGACGCUGAGGUACGAAAGCAUGGGGAGCAAACAGGAUUAGAUACCCUGGUAGUCCAUGCCGUAAACGAUGU
Molecule: ribosomal RNA, 810 nt
Filed under: Acinetobacter baumannii 135867
Lineage: Bacteria; Pseudomonadati; Pseudomonadota; Gammaproteobacteria; Moraxellales; Moraxellaceae
Description: bacterial SSU rRNA
Rfam family: Bacterial small subunit ribosomal RNA
Source: RNAcentral